AGUGAACGCUGGCGGUAGGCCUAACACAUGCAAGUCGAACGGCAGCACAGUAAGAGCUUGCUCUUACGGGUGGCGAGUGGCGGACGGGUGAGGAAUACAUCGGAAUCUACUUUUUCGUGGGGGAUAACGUAGGGAAACUUACGCUAAUACCGCAUACGACCUACGGGUGAAAGCAGGGGAUCUUCGGACCUUGCGCGAUUGAAUGAGCCGAUGUCGGAUUAGCUAGUUGGCGGGGUAAAGGCCCACCAAGGCGACGAUCCGUAGCUGGUCUGAGAGGAUGAUCAGCCACACUGGAACUGAGACACGGUCGAGACUCCUACGGGAGGCAGCAGUGGGGAAUAUUGGACAAUGGGCGCAAGCCUGAUCCAGCCAUGCCGCGUGGGUGAAGAAGGCCUUCGGGUUGUAAAGCCCUUUUGUUGGGAAAGAAAAGCAGCAGGUUAAUACCCCGCUGUUCUGACGGUACCCAAAGAAUAAGCACCGGCUAACUUCGUG
Molecule: ribosomal RNA, 492 nt
Filed under: uncultured bacterium
Lineage: Bacteria
Description: partial 16S ribosomal RNA
Rfam family: Bacterial small subunit ribosomal RNA
Source: RNAcentral